UUGCUUCAGCAGCACAUAUACUAAAAUUGGGAUAAUACAGAGAAGAUUAGCAUGGCCCCUGCAUAUGGAUGACAUGCAAAUUCCUAAAGAGUCUGUUUUU
Molecule: small nuclear RNA, 100 nt
Filed under: Nannospalax galili (Upper Galilee mountains blind mole rat)
Lineage: Eukaryota; Metazoa; Chordata; Mammalia; Rodentia; Spalacidae
Source: RNAcentral